GAGUUACAGACAUGCUGGUCUCCCGUGUGUUCCUUGAACCUGUCAGGCUUGCUGGGCUGUGCUCACUAUCCAGACACCUGGAUCCCCAGCUCUCUGCAUAGCUGCCUCUUGUCUCUGAGGUAUGGGCCCAAAUGCCAUCUCUCCUAAGAGGCUUUUCCUAACCACCCAGUUCCAGCACUGUCCGGACAGAGGCGGCCCAGCUGAAUACCUGAGUUCUCAGGGCCAUGCAGAGCAGCCUGACCAUGAGGAUGGGCCCCUGUGGUGUACGACCUCAGCUCUUCAAAGGUCACAAUUUCCAGUCUUCCAAGCAGUCUUCUGAUUACGAACAUGGUUUUCUCCCUUCACUUAAGAGAUUUGGGGGUUCAGAUCUCAGCACAGAUAUCUGGAGAGUGUGGGGUCAGGGAAGAGCAGCAAGAGGAAUGGAUAUCCAGACAUAGGGCACACUCGACAGAGAGAGAGAGAGAGAAGAGAGAGAGAAGAUGAGAAGAGAAGAGAGAGGAGAGAGGAGGGAGCCCUCGCACACAAUGCUUCCACGUAUUGCUGUACUCCACCCCUUGGUCUGCAGCCAUAGCCGUACUUGGCAGAACACAAUACUCUCUGUGGUUCUGCCUCUUGGCAUCAAGUUGUUCUUUGAUCUUUGGUUAAGAAACCAUGCCUGACUUAUGCAUGGCCCUGAUGGAAGUUGCUUACAUUCAUUUUCCAUGUGUGGAAUGGUCUGACUUGGCCCAUGUACUUCCCUGUCUCUACAGAGGAAGCUCUACCUGGGACAACAAACCAGGCCCUUAAAACUUUCCAUGGUUGAAAAACGAAAAAAAACAAAAACAUUUUAUGGCUAAUGACUCCAGUCCAAAACAAUUAACAAGAUCUGAACCACGAAUGCCUUUUUAAUCUCAGGAGAAUAAUCAUCAUUUUCAUCAGUGUCUGACAGGACUCCUGUGAGACAGAGCGUGGGCAUUACUUUCUCAGCCUAACUCGCCUGGGCAGAAGGAGACAUGGCCGGAAGGUCUUACCAUUUGCCUUGGAUGUGGUACUCUUUCUGAGGUCUCCGACUCUCUUAAAAUCCUGUUCAAAAUGAUCAUGUGGACAGCAGGAAAUGGACCCGAAGUGUCACUGCACAGGGAGUCUUAACCAUCUGCAUUUGCGGCACCUGCACUGUCAGCCGCCCUCUCUGAGGCACACUUCUGCUUCUUCAAAUGCCUGCAGAGACCAGGGGGCAGUCCAGAAGUGAAGACAGAGGGAGGACAGCAAGGGAAGCCCCAGCUCAAAGAAGUGACUGGGCUAGGGUGGCCCUCCUCAGAGAUGCUUCUGCCUGCCUGCUGAGUGUCACUGUUGAGCUCUUCCCCAGUGCAGAGCUUUGCCCUGCUUUGUUUUCGUUAUUCACUCUUUCAUGCAAAACUGAAAUUGAACUGGGUCUGAAGACACUAAAAAAUGUCUGGGUAGGGGGCUACACGGAGCAGGGGUUUUCCUGAGAGAAUGGAAUGUCCCAUGAGAAAUUUCACUUACCAUGAGAGGGGAAGUCCGUUUCGUAUGACAUGAUAUAACAUUGUCAUUAUAAACUCUCCAUUGGGUUUCAUGUGUUAAUAUUUAUCAUUCUUUUGAUUAGUUAUUCAUCAAGAAAACCCUGUGGAUUCUGAGAAAAUCAUCAUGUAUCGAGGGUUCCUCAGGCUAGAUGAUGGACCCAGAAUCAUUUUCUCUAUUCUUUACAACAGAGAACUUGCUGGGUUGGUUGGUUGGUUUGUUUUACCAAACACCACUUGGCCUGCAGGCGAGGAGCUGUCCUUGCCCAGAUGAGACAAUCUCAUCUGAAGCAACAACCUGGUACCAGGAUAUCAUGUUUACUCAUGAGAAUACCAUUGACCAUCGGCCUUCAAGUGAAGGUUGACCUGUGCAUUUUUUUUUUUUAAGACAGAGUCUCACUCUGUCCCCCAGGCUGGAGUGAAGUGGUGCGAUCUUGGCUCACUGCAACCUCUGCCUCCUGGGUUCAAGUGAUUCUCAUGCCUCA
Piliocolobus tephrosceles (Ugandan red Colobus) is the source of this 2002-nucleotide long non-coding RNA. RefSeq lists it as uncharacterized. Lineage: Eukaryota; Metazoa; Chordata; Mammalia; Primates; Cercopithecidae. The record is from RefSeq and is a predicted model, not a curated record. The transcript has 3 exons.